AGCGAACGCUGGCGGCAGGCCUAAUACAUGCAAGUCGAACGAUCCUUCGGGAUAGUGGCGGACGGUUGAGUAACACGUGUGAACGUGCCCUUUGGUUCGGAAUAACUCAGGGAAACUUGAGCUAAUACCGGAUGUGCCCUUCGGGGGAAAGAUUUAUCGCCAUUGGAGAGGCCCGCGUCUGAUUAGAUAGUUGGUAGGGUAAAGGCCUACCAAGGCUACGAUCAGUAGCUGGUCUGAGAGGAUGAUCAGCCACACUGGGACUGAGACACGGCCCAGACUCCUACGGGAGGCAGCAGUAGGGAAUCCUGCGCAAUGGGAGCAACCCUGACGCAGCCAUACCGCGUGUGCGAUGAAGGUCUUCGGAUUGUAAAGCACUUUCAGUAGGGACGACGAUGACGGUACCUACAAAAGAAGUCACGGCUAACUUCGUGCCAGCCGCCGCCGUAA
RNAcentral lists this ribosomal RNA (447 nucleotides) under uncultured bacterium. RNAcentral's name for it is "partial 16S ribosomal RNA". It matches the Rfam family "Bacterial small subunit ribosomal RNA", at positions 29 to 523 of the family's 1533-position model. The record is from RNAcentral.